GAUAAAAGAUAAUGGAAAGAGGGUGGAGAGAGAGGGACUGUAGCUGGCUUUUUCUGAUCGCAUGUGCACGUCCCCCCCCUCACCUUUGCCUUUUUUCCUUAUCUAUAUAUACUACACACCCGUGCACCUUUUGUAGAUCCCCUAGAAAGCUCUGAGCUUUGCAAGGAUCUAUGUUUUCAUCAUAUCACACAAUGUCGUAUGGCUAGAAUGAAAUCAUGAUAUACAUAUAUACAACUUUCAGCAACGGAUCUCUUGGCUCUCGCAUCGAUGAAGAACGCAGCGAAUUGCGAUAAGUAAUGUGAAUUGCAGAUUUCCAGUGAAUCAUCGAAUCUUUGAACGCAUCUUGCGCUCCUUGGUAUUCUGAGGAGCAUGCCUGUUUGAGUGUCAUUGAAUUCUCAACCAUCUUCUCUUUCUUUGAGGGGGGGAUGGCUUGGAGUUGGGGGCUGCUGGCAGGGGGAACUGUCAGCUCUCCUUAAAUGCAUCAGCGAUCAAGUUGGCUAGUCUUUUGACGUGCACGGCUUUGGACGUGAUAAUGAUCGUCAUGGCUGGAGCGUCUUUCUAGUACAUCAGAUGGCUUCUAAUCUCAAGAGAAAGAGAGUGAUCGAGCUUCCAAUGCCUACUAGGCAGUCUAAAUUAACGAGGCUGGCCGAACGCAGAGAGAGGCAAGAUCUAUCCCUCGACUCANAUCUCANANACUUGACCUCAAAUCAGGUAGGACUACCCGCUGACUUAAGCAUAUC
Molecule: ribosomal RNA, 740 nt
Filed under: uncultured Phylloporus
Lineage: Eukaryota; Fungi; Basidiomycota; Agaricomycetes; Boletales; Boletaceae
Description: eukaryotic LSU rRNA
Rfam family: 5.8S ribosomal RNA (bases 233-387)
Source: RNAcentral